RNAcentral lists this ribosomal RNA (253 nucleotides) under uncultured bacterium. RNAcentral describes it as "partial 16S ribosomal RNA". It matches the Rfam family "Bacterial small subunit ribosomal RNA", at positions 524 to 776 of the family's 1533-position model. The record is from RNAcentral.
UACAGAGGUCCCGAGCGUUGUUCGGAAUCACUGGGCGUAAAGCGCGCGCAGGCGGAUGGUUGCGUCUGGUGUGAAAUUUCGCCGCUCAACGGCGAAGCUGCUUUGGAUACGGGCCAUCUGGGGACCGGUAGAGGCUGGUAGAAUUGCAGGUGUAGCGGUGGAAUGCGUAGAGAUCUGCAAGAAUACCCGUGGCGAAGGCGGCCAGCUGGGCCGGAUCCGACGCUGAGGCGCGAAAGCGUGGGGAGCAAACAGG